GCAAAACGCGAAGAACCUUACCCGGUUGUAACGUAGGAGACAGGGUGGAACAAUCCUUUCUAGCAAUGACUGCCUACGAGGUGCUGCAUGGUUGUCGUCAGCUCGUGCCGUGAGGUGUCGGCUUAAGUGCCAUAACGAGCGCAACCCUUACUUUCCAGUUACUAACAGGUAAUGCUGAGGACUCUAGUGAGACUGCCAUCGUAAGAUGCGAGGAAGGUGGGGAUGACGUCAAAUCAGCACGGCCCUUACGUCCGGGCGACACACGUGUUACAAUGGGUGUACAAAGGGCAGCUACCUGGCGACAGGAUGCCAAUCCCCAAAACCACUCUCAGUUCGGAUCGGAGUCUGCAACUCGACUCCGUGAAGCUGGAUUCGCUAGUAAUCGCGCAUCAGCCACGGCGCGGUGAAUACGUUCCCGGGUCUUGUACACACCG
This 434-nucleotide ribosomal RNA is filed under the name uncultured bacterium. Its description in RNAcentral is "bacterial SSU rRNA". It matches the Rfam family "Bacterial small subunit ribosomal RNA", at positions 954 to 1392 of the family's 1533-position model. The record is from RNAcentral.